Sebastes umbrosus (honeycomb rockfish) is the source of this 252-nucleotide long non-coding RNA. RefSeq lists it as uncharacterized. The transcript has 3 exons. NCBI's taxonomy places the organism in Eukaryota, Metazoa, Chordata, Actinopteri, Perciformes, Sebastidae. The record is from RefSeq and is a predicted model, not a curated record.
GCUUUUGGUGUGUUUUUCGUUUAUUUGAAAAAUGAGGCCUGACAGGUAGUGAUUGCGCAAUGAGCCAGAGCAUCUCUGUUCUCUAUAUAAAGGCAGCUAACUUGUGGUCUAGUACAACAGAAUUCAGAAGACCAGCUGACUUCUUACUGCCGAUCACCGACUGUCAACAGACACGUAAGUCUUUAAGAAUUUAUUAUUUUCUUGACGUGGACGAUUCAUUUUUCUAUCUCAGAUCAUGCACUGGUCAAUUUU